This 451-nucleotide ribosomal RNA is filed under the name uncultured Prevotella sp. RNAcentral's name for it is "bacterial SSU rRNA". It matches the Rfam family "Bacterial small subunit ribosomal RNA", at positions 67 to 507 of the family's 1533-position model. Lineage: Bacteria; Pseudomonadati; Bacteroidota; Bacteroidia; Bacteroidales; Prevotellaceae. The record is from RNAcentral.
GUAGGCUUGCUCUCUUAGGCGGUCCGACCGGCGGCACGGGUCGGAGUAACGCGUAUCCAACCUGCCUCUCGACUAACGGGAUAACCGGCGAAAGUACGGACUAAUACCUUAUGAGGUUUCGUUGACAGACAAUCUAACGUAAAACGAAAAGAGUUUAUCGGUCAGCGAUGGGGAUGCGUCUGAUUAGCUUGUUGGCGGGGUAACGGCCCACCAAGGCAACGAUCAGUAGGGGUUCUGAGAGGAAGGUCCCCACAUUGGAACUGAGACACGGUCCAAACUCCUACGGGAGGCAGCAGUGAGGAAUAUUGGUCAAUGGGCGAGAGCCUGAACCAGCCAAGUAGCGUGCAGGAUGACGGCCCUAUGGGUUGUAAACUGCUUUUAUGUGGGGAUAAAGUGAGCUACGUGUAGUUUAUUGCAGGUACCACAUGAAUAAGGACCGGCUAAUUCCGUG